UAGGGAAUCUUCGGCAAUGGACGGAAGUCUGACCGAGCAACGCCGCGUGAGUGAAGAAGGUUUUCGGAUCGUAAAGCUCUGUUGUAAGAGAAGAACGAGUGUGAGAGUGGAAAGUUCACACUGUGACGGUAUCUUACCAGAAAGGGACGGCUAACUACGUGCCAGCAGCCGCGGUAAUACGUAGGUCCCGAGCGUUGUCCGGAUUUAUUGGGCGUGAAGCGAGCGCAGGCGGUUAGAUAAGUCUGAAGUUAAAGGCUGUGGCUUAACCAUAGUACGCUUUGGAAACUGUUUAACUUGAGUGCAAGAGGGGAGAGUGGAAUUCCAUGUGUAGCGGUGAAAUGCGUAGAUAUAUGGAGGAACACCGGUGGCGAAAGCGGCUCUCUGGCUUGUAACUGACGCUGAGGCUCGAAAGCGUGGGGAGCAAACAGGAUUAGAUACCCUGGUAGUCCACGCCGUAAACGAUGAGUGCUAGGUGUUAGACCCUUUCCGGGGUUUAGUGCCGUAGCUAACGCAUUAAGCACUCCGCCUGGGGAGUACGACCGCAAGGUUG
Molecule: ribosomal RNA, 550 nt
Filed under: uncultured bacterium
Lineage: Bacteria
Description: bacterial SSU rRNA
Rfam family: Bacterial small subunit ribosomal RNA
Source: RNAcentral